AGGUUGCCAUGAAGAAGAUGACACUAUGUGUUAUAAGUUACGAGCAUGAGCGGGUACGAAAUGUGAACAGAUUAGUCGAAUAGAGAGCUGUGUGAAGAGAGCGAUGCGACGGCGAGAGUAGAGAAAAAAGAACAAAGAAAACUGUGUAGUUUAUUUCAUUUAUAUAUAUAUAUCCUAAAAACAUUGUAUGUUUUAUUCGAUUUCAUUUAAUUUCUAUAUGAAACGAGAAAUAUACUACAGUUCAUGGUUAACUGUAUCGUCUAUAUCGGCAUCGACAAGAGUUAAAACUUCUUAAUCACGCUAUAUGAACUUCUCUAAUAUUUUACUUUUAUCACUAUUUAACUGUGUAUGCACUUUCAGCCCUAGAAUUUGAUUCUGAAGCAUAUUUCGUUUAUUUAAGAAUUAUAUUUUAAGUAAUGAAGUUAUUAAAAUAAUAUGAAAGUAAUGGAGUUAUUUGAUUGUAGCAGAUCAUAUUCUGAUAAUAUUAUUUCUACUCAGUGAUAUCUAUGAAUAAUUAAUUAAAUAUUAAUAUUAAAAAACUAUUUAUAUUAUCUAAUAUUUUUUAAUUCACGCUCAUUUUGAUUAUAUUUCCUAAAUAUAUACAUAUACCUACAAGUACAAAAUUUAGUAUAAAUAACGUCAUAUCUUAAAAAUGUACUAAAUAAUGGAAAUUUCUGAAUGAUUUUAAAUAAUAUAUUAAUCGUUUCCAUGC
Molecule: unclassified non-coding RNA, 712 nt
Filed under: Bombus terrestris (buff-tailed bumblebee)
Lineage: Eukaryota; Metazoa; Arthropoda; Insecta; Hymenoptera; Apidae
Description: misc RNA ENSBTSG00005037275.1
Source: RNAcentral